RNAcentral lists this ribosomal RNA (303 nucleotides) under uncultured bacterium. Its description in RNAcentral is "partial 16S ribosomal RNA". It matches the Rfam family "Bacterial small subunit ribosomal RNA", at positions 507 to 807 of the family's 1533-position model. The record is from RNAcentral.
AGCAGCCGCCACGGUAACACGGAGGGUGCAAGCGUUAAUCGGAAUUACUGGGCGUAAAGCGCACGCAGGCGGUCUGACAAGUCAGAUGUGAAAUCCCCGGGCUUAACCUGGGAACUGCAUUUGAAACUGUCAGGCUGGAGUCUUGUAGAGGGGGGUAGAAUUCCAGGUGUAGCGGUGAAAUGCGUAGAGAUCUGGAGGAAUACCGGUGGCGAAGGCGGCCCCCUGGACAAAGACUGACGCUCAGGUGCGAAAGCGUGGGGAGCAAACAGGAUUAGAUACCCGAGUAGUCCCUGUCUCUUAUAC